RNAcentral lists this ribosomal RNA (467 nucleotides) under uncultured bacterium. RNAcentral describes it as "bacterial SSU rRNA". It matches the Rfam family "Bacterial small subunit ribosomal RNA", at positions 329 to 794 of the family's 1533-position model. The record is from RNAcentral.
UCCCAGACUCCUACGGGAGGCAGCAGUGAGGAAUAUUGGUCAAUGGCCGCAGGGCUGAACCAGCCAAGUCGCGUGAGGGAUGACGGUCCUAUGGAUUGUAAACCUCUUUUGUCAGGGAGCAAAGGGCGCCACGUGUGGCGUUUUGCGAGUACCUGAAGAAAAAGCAUCGGCUAACUCCGUGCCAGCAGCCGCGGUAAUACGGAGGAUGCGAGCGUUAUCCGGAUUUAUUGGGUUUAAAGGGUGCGCAGGCGGAAUGUCAAGUCAGCGGUAAAAUUUCGGGGCUCAACCCCGUCGUGCCGUUGAAACUGGCAGACUUGAGUUGGCGAGAAGUACGCGGAAUGCGCGGUGUAGCGGUGAAAUGCAUAGAUAUCGCGCAGAACUCCGAUUGCGAAGGCAGCGUACCGGCGCCAGACUGACGCUGAGGCACGAAAGCGUGGGGAUCGAACAGGAUUAGAUACCCUAGUAGC